UUGAACGCUGGCGGCAGGCCUAACACAUGCAAGUCGAGCGGAUGAAGGGAGCUUGCUCCUGGAUUCAGCGGCGGACGGGUGAGUAAUGCCUAGGAAUCUGCCUGGUAGUGGGGGAUAACGUCCGGAAACGGGCGCUAAUACCGCAUACGUCCCGAGGGAGAAAGUGGGGGAUCUUCGGACCUCACGCUAUCAGAUGGGCCUAGGUCGGAUUAGCUAGUUGGUGGGGUAAAGGCCUACCAAGGCGACGAUCCGUAACUGGUCUGAGAGGAUGAUCAGUCACACUGGAACUGAGACACGGUCCAGACUCCUACGGGAGGCAGCAGUGGGGAAUAUUGGACAAUGGGCGAAAGCCUGAUACAGCCAUGCCGCGUGUGUGAAGAAGGUCUUCGGAUUGUAAAGCACUUUAAGUUGGGAGGAAGGGCAGUAAGUUAAUACCUUGCUGUUUUGACGUUACCAACAGAAUAAGCACCGGCUAACUUCGUG
RNAcentral lists this ribosomal RNA (483 nucleotides) under uncultured bacterium. RNAcentral describes it as "partial 16S ribosomal RNA". It matches the Rfam family "Bacterial small subunit ribosomal RNA", at positions 30 to 507 of the family's 1533-position model. The record is from RNAcentral.